RNAcentral lists this ribosomal RNA (2299 nucleotides) under metagenome. Its description in RNAcentral is "bacterial LSU rRNA". It matches the Rfam family "Bacterial large subunit ribosomal RNA", at positions 14 to 2320 of the family's 2925-position model. The record is from RNAcentral.
AGGGCGCACGGUGGAUGCCUUGGCGUAGGUUGCCGACGAAGGACGUGAAUCACUGCGAUAAGCCUCGGGGAGUCGUGAUUAGACAUUAUAUCCGGGGAUGUCCGAAUGGGGAAACCCGCCAGAUGCUGAGUCUGGUACGGCCUGGUGAAUACAUAGCCAGGUACGAGGGAACCGCCCGAACUGAAACAUCUAAGUAGGGCGAGGAAAAGAGAGUAUUCCGAAAGUAGUGGCGAGCGAAAUCGGAGAAGGCCAAACCUGCUUCUUCGGAAGCAGGGGUUGUAGGACCCCACAAAAUUGACUGCUAGUCUAGCCGAACCGUUCAGGAAAGCCGGACCACAGAGCGUGAUAGUCGCGUAGGCGAAAGGCGAUGCAGCAAUGGGAAAAUCCUGAGUAGCACCCGGCACGUGAAAUCGGGUGUGAAUCCGCGGAGACCACUCCGCAAGCCUAAAUACAACCACGACCGAUAGUGAACAAGUACCGUGAGGGAAAGGUGGGAAGCACCCCGACGAGGGGAGUAGCAGUACCUGAAACCGUGCGCUUACAAGCAGUCGGAGGACUAUGUCGCAAGACAGUCUGACGGCGUGCCUCUUGGAGAAUGAGUCGGCGACUUACCGUUUGUCGCAAGGUUAAGGCAGUUACAGCCGGAGCCGUAGGGAAACCGAGUCUGAUAAGGGCGACAACAGUGGCAGGCGGUAGACCCGAAACGAGGUGAGCUACCCAUGACCAGAGUGAAGCGAGAGUAACAUCUCGUGGAGGCUCGAACCCAUUAGUGCUGCAAAACUAUGGGAUGAGUUGUGGGUAGAGGUGAUAUGCCAAUCGAACUUCGAGAUAGCUGGUUCUCCCCGAAAUAACUUUAGGGUUAGCCUCGAUUGUUUAGUGACAGAGGUAAAGCACUGAAUGGGCUAGGGGGCGUAAGCCUACCAAACCCAAUCAAACUCUGAAUGCUGUCACUCCAAGAUCGGGAGUCGGGCUACGAGUUAUGAGAUCCGUGGCCGAGAGGGUAACAACCCAGACCGACAUCUAAGGUCCUCAAGUGUGUGCUAAGUGGGAAACGAUGUGAAAUUGUUCAGACAGCGAGGAGGUUGGCUUAGAAGCAGCCAUCCUUUAAACAGUGCGUAAUAGCUGACUCGUCGAACGAUUUUGCGCGGAAAAUUCAACGGGGCUAAGCACGCCACCGAAGAUACGGAAUCGAGAGAUUAGUAGGGGAGCGUUCCAGGAACAGCGAAGCCAUACCGAAAGGAGUGGUGGAGUGACUGGAAGUGAGAAUGCCGACACGAGUAGCGUAAAUUGCGUGAGAACCGCAAUCGCCGUAUGCCUAAGGUUUCCGAUGCAAGGUCAAUCCGCAUCGGGUUAGUCGGGCCUAAGCCGAGGCAGAAAUGCGUAGGUGAUGGACAAUCGGUCAACAUUCCGAUACCAGGGCAGGAGAGCUAGGAAGGGACGCAGAAUGGUAGCUGAGCCGGACCAAUGGUAAUGCCGGUCGAAGCGCGUAGGGAAAUGACGAGGGUAGGCAAGUCCGCUCUUUGAUCCUGAAACGUAAGCGAGGUCCCCAAGCCGAAGUCAGCAAGCCAAUCUGCCGAGAAAAACUUCUAUGCGUUGAACCUGUUCUGCCCGUACCGCAAACCGACACUGGUAGGCGAGGAGAGUAUCCUCAGGCGAACGAGAGAACCUUCGUUAAGGAAUUAGGCAACAUGUACCCGUAACUUAGGGAGAAGGGUAGCCCGCGGUGAUGUUGUCAUACGAUGAUGUCAUUGUGGGUCGCAGAUGAGAGGCUCUAGCGACUGGUUAACUAAACCACAGGUCUCUGCGAAGCCGUAAGGCGACGUAUAGGGGCUGACACUUGCCCAGUGCUGGAAGGUUAAAGGGAGAGGUUAGCGCAAGCGAAGCUUUGAACUGAAGCCCCAGUGAACGGCGGCGGUAACUAUAACCGUCCUAAGGUAGCGAAAUUCCUUGUCAGGUAAGUUCUGACCCGCACGAAUAGUGUAACGACUGGAGCACUGUCUCAACGAGGGACUCGGCGAAACUGAAUUAAUGGUGAAGAUGCCAUUUACCCGCGCCCGGACAAAAAGACCCCGUGGAGCUUUACUGUACCUUGGCAUUGCGCUAGGGCUUUGACUGUGUAGCAUAGGUGGGAGGCUUAGAAGCUGGUGCGCUAGCAUCGGUGGAGCCGUCAGUGAAAUACCACCCUGUUGGAGUUUUGGCCCUAACCGUACUCCGUAAUCCGGAGACGAGACAGUGCCAGGCGGGCAGUUUGACUGGGGCGGUCGCCUCCUAAAAUGUAACGGAGGCGCCCAAAGGUUCC